This 497-nucleotide ribosomal RNA is filed under the name uncultured bacterium. Its description in RNAcentral is "partial 16S ribosomal RNA". It matches the Rfam family "Bacterial small subunit ribosomal RNA", at positions 28 to 507 of the family's 1533-position model. The record is from RNAcentral.
GAUGAACGCUGGCGGCGUGCCUAAUACAUGCAAGUCGAGCGAACAGACGAGGAGCUUGCUCCUCUGACGUUAGCGGCGGACGGGUGAGUAACACGUGGAUAACCUACCUAUAAGACUGGGAUAACUUCGGGAAACCGGAGCUAAUACCGGAUAAUAUAUUGAACCGCAUGGUUCAAUAGUGAAAGACGGUUUUGCUGUCACUUAUAGAUGGAUCCGCGCCGCAUUAGCUAGUUGGUAAGGUAACGGCUUACCAAGGCAACGAUGCGUAGCCGACCUGAGAGGGUGAUCGGCCACACUGGAACUGAGACACGGUCCAGACUCCUACGGGAGGCAGCAGUAGGGAAUCUUCCGCAAUGGGCGAAAACCUGACGGAGCAGCGCCGCGUGAGUGAUGAAGGUCUUCGGAUCGUAAAACUCUGUUAUUAGGGAAGAACAAAUGUGUAAGUAACUAUGCACGUCUUGACGGUACCUAAUCAGAAAGCCACGGCUAACUACGUG